CUUCUUUAUUUCCCCUAAAUUCCAACUCUUAACAAACUUUUCCCCUCUAUUUCCCUGGGUUUUAUUCCCAAGCCUCAACUCCUGCCAGACUUUUUCCCCCUCUUUAUUUCCUCAGGUUUUAUUCCUAGAUUUCAAACCUUGACAGACUUUUCCCCUCUUUAUUUCCUUGGGAUUUUUUUCCCUUUCCAUCAAGGCAGAGCAGCAGGAAUGGGGCUUUUGGGAAGAGAAAGGUGCCUCUGGAAACACCCAGAUCUGGUCUCUGAACCUUCUCAGCACCUCCUCAAACCUUGAUUUAUUUAAUCAGAGCCAUUCCCAGGAUAAAAACAUAACAGGUUGUUGUUGAGGAAGGAGAGAACCCACAGUUAAAGUGACAGGCUCCCAUAUGGAGCAGAUUUCCAGCCAAAUUCCUCCUGAUUUCUGCUCAAGUCAGAGGUGAUCCCACACUGAGCCACAAGUGCCUGAAUUUUCCUGGACUUUAUUCCAGCAGCAAAAACGCUGAAUAACAUUUUUAUUAUUAUUUUUAUUAUUUUUAUUAUUAUUAUUAUUAUUAUUUUACAAUAUGAAAUGUGAAUUCCAGAUGUGGGGGUGUGUCUCACUGUGUGCAUUCCCUCCUUUCACUCCCUCUGUUUCCCUGUGGAUUUUGUCUGUGUAUUUCUGGAAUAAUGAACAUAGAUCACUGCUCUUUGUUUUUCCUCACCAAAACAGAGCUCUGGUGACUGAAGGAUGGUCCAACCUUGUCACCUCUGCUUUCCACUGGCUCGUGCAGCUCCUGGGGAUUCCAGCAGGAGCCUCUGGGUGGGAUGGAUCCCAGGGAAAUGGGCUGACUUGCUUUUGUUGCUGGCAGAACUGCUGUGUCGGUGUUGAAUUGAGGGAAGCAGUGGAAAUAAGGAAGCUGAAUGAUCAGUGUGCUUUGUUUGACAUCGUUGGUAACUCAAUACUCCUGGCUCAAGGGGGAGGAAUCCGUGCCUGGAGAUUGGAGAAAGCUCAGAUCCCAACAGGAGAAUGUGCUUUGAGAAGGGCUGGGUUGAAAAUUUGGGAUGUCAGAAAUCAGAUCCCGGGUUUGCCACAACUUUGUUUUUGCUGUGAAAUCAGGAAAUUUGUUGACCCUGUGUUUAAACCAGGUGCCCAUGCUGGUGCUAAACUGAAUUUUACACAUUUUGGGAGUAGUUUUGGGAGGAGAGGGGAGUGUUUGGCUCUUCUGGUGUGUCCCAGAUGCUGCUCUCCCUGACCUGCAUCAUAAUUCCUUUGGCUCCUGUGCUCCCAAGCUUUUUAAAUAUCAGUUCUCUGGGGGAAAAAAAAUCAGAAUUUUUCCUAACUUCAGCAGGAUUUCUUGAAAAAGACUGAGGGGUAAGCAAAGAUUUGCUGGUUACACCUGUUUAAAUGUAGCAAGAAAUGGAUUUGUGGGGUUUGUGCAGGGAUUCUGGUGCUGCUGCUGCCUCUUCUCAAGUCUCUGCACGUUUGGGGCUUUUUUCCUUGUUAGUUUUUCUUGGAUAAGUGGGAAUUGUGUGUGAGAAAAGUUUAUAACACAACAAACCUGGUCUAUGGAAAAUGUGGGAAUCAGAUGAUCUUUAAAGGUCCCUUCCACCCCAAAAUUCCAUAAUUCCACAAUAACUGGCUGCUCAGAGUCUGAACCAGCAUCUCUGUCUCGUUACAGGCAAAUAUUGUGCUGAUAAAUAUUAAAUUUGCUGUAGUUUGUUUCUUUUUGGACUUUUAUCUUUUUGCAGGGGCUUCCUGCUCAGUUUGGCUGGGAUAUAACAGAGUUCUGCAGGUUCAGGAGAUGCAUUAAUGAGGUUUUUUAAAGAGUUUUGGAAUUUUUUUCUAGCUUUUCAGUAGCCACUAAGCCCUUUAAAUUGUCCUCUGUGGCUCUUGGAGCCUUCCAGAGUCACAGAUUUCUCUGCAGCCACCCCAAAUUCGGUGCCAUUCAGGCAUUUCAGGAUAUUCUGUGUUUCUCUUGCCAGUUUUCUCCAGACUUGGGAGGUGAAACCUGGGAUAGCUGAACUCCACAAUCCUCUUUAAUAAUCCAGAUUUUAUUUCCAAGGGCAGCUGGGAAUCUGCUGCUGAGCAUCCCAGCAAAAAGUGGACGGGGCUUUGAUAUUCUUUUACAAAGUGCUUCAAACAGCAAAAUAAACCCUGAAAGAGGGUGGAGAACA
Molecule: long non-coding RNA, 2150 nt
Organism: Parus major (Great Tit)
Lineage: Eukaryota; Metazoa; Chordata; Aves; Passeriformes; Paridae
Source: Ensembl